Non-coding RNA from Meleagris gallopavo (turkey), 1513 nucleotides. NCBI's taxonomy places the organism in Eukaryota, Metazoa, Chordata, Aves, Galliformes, Phasianidae. The record is from RefSeq and is a predicted model, not a curated record.
CGCCGCGGGCCCGGUUUAUAACAUUGGCACUCUGGGGGUCACCCCCGGGAUUCGCCCUUCCCAUCGGAUCCCCGUUCCCAAAAGCAGAGCGGCCAAAUCCACCCCUCCCACACACACACACCGCCUCGAAACCACGAGGAAAGCGUGCAGAACCGUGAGAAAAACCAACAGCCAAAAACGAUACUCUCCAAUUUGUUUAAGAAAUCAACACCGUCCAACAAAAUAAAUUCACAUUUCACUGACUUUUGAUUAUUAUUUUUUUUUUCUCCGUUCUUUAAUUGCUCAACAGAGCACGGGAGGUGUCCGGGCUGAAGCAUCACCCUCCUCCCCCUUCCCCGAGCUCUUCUCCGCCCUUCUGUCGCGGUGUCCCUGCAGGGAAGAGCUGAGCUCAGCGGGGCUCCAAAACGGGCCGCCACUUCUCAGCCGUUCUCCCCCUCCGGAGGACACAGAGCAGCAGCCGCACGGGGCCCCGGGGGGGAUGGGGGGUGGCUGGCAGAGCCGGGACGCUCCGCUGCGGAGUCCCCGAGCCGUCCGGAGCCGCAGCCGAAGCCGGGAUUCCCCACAGGGCUGCGCUCAGCAGGUGCGGCCCUCCGGCACGGAGCGCGUUUGCCCUCAGCCUCCGUUCUUUCUCCAAUUCAAUGGUGGAAAAAGGAAGAAACGCAAACCGAAAUGAAAACGGCAAUAAAAACGCGAGAUGGACGGACAGCAAAAAUUGAAAGAGGGUCCGACGGCGGCAAGUUAACGGGUUUCCAUUCGUUUUCGUUAUUAUUUUUAAAUUGAUUAUGAGCUGCCCGUGAGCCUCGAGGGCGGGGGGGGGAUUUCGCCGGACAGCGGCAGCCCCGGCCCUCCUGUGCCUCCCCCGGGCUGCCCCGCUGCAGUGCGGCGAGGGGGGAGAGGAAGGAGAGCGGAGCCCCCGGCCGCCCGUCCCUGCAUUUUCGGCAGUCGAUUUCAUGCCUCUCCGGUUGUGGGUCACGAGCAGGGCUUUGGCAGGAGCCGAGGUGACAUCGCCAGGAGACGCUGAAGCGGAGGUAGGGGUCAGGGCUCUGUAACUCGACCGGUUUCAUCCUCCCCCCUCCCCGGCUCGGCGCUGGAAGGGGCUCUCCCGGGGGUGCGGGCUGCUGGGAGCCCCGGGGAGCUGCGACAGCGGGAGGGAGGUGGGAAUGCCUUUUAGGACAAAUAAUGUCCCAACACCAUCUCACGUUAAAUGUGCCCCCAACCCCGAACCGCACACCCCGCCUGCAGGGCCAAGGGCAGUCCCGAUCAGAGGAGGGAUGGGAGCGGGGUCCCGCUGCUCUGGAGCCCCGGAGCAGACCCACGGCGUGACAUCGCGUAAUGGAGCGGAUUUGCACGGGCAGGAGGAAGCUGCGGAUGCCUUGAGAUCCCCGCGGCGGCUCCUACCCGCCCGGUACCGGCGGUCGGGACUGUGCCCGGGCAGCCGCCGCCGUUACAGCUUUGUCCUUCGAACCAACCCACAUGUCGCCGUGUCCGGAAAGAAGAAAAAAACAAAAAAAAA